GACAGGUUUCACUAGUAGUAAAAAGUAGAAGACAAAAUGUAACUGACAGGUUUCACUAGUAGUAAAAAGUAGAAGACAAAAUGUAACUGACAGGUUUCACUAGUGGUAAAAAGUAGAAGAGAAAAUGUAACUGACAGGUUUCACUAGUGGUAAAAAGUAGAAGACAAAAUGUAACUGACAGGUUUCACUAGUGGUAAAAAGUAGAAGACAAAAUGUAACUGACAGGUUUCACUAGUGGUAAAA
Oncorhynchus tshawytscha (Chinook salmon) is the source of this 243-nucleotide long non-coding RNA. RefSeq lists it as uncharacterized. The record is from RefSeq and is a predicted model, not a curated record. The transcript is spliced from 2 exons. NCBI's taxonomy places the organism in Eukaryota, Metazoa, Chordata, Actinopteri, Salmoniformes, Salmonidae.